GGCAGACGCUGACGACCGUGGCACCACCGGGGUAUAAUACUGAUACUGUUGUAUUGUACAUCAAUGCAAGCGACACCCUCGAGAUAUCUUCGCCAAACUAUCCCGGCAACUAUUCAGAUUACAUCGACAAGAAUUGGAUCCUCCACGCGGAGGAGAACCAGAAAAUCUACAUCACCUUUUCCAGUUUCGAAGCUGAUGAAUACUCCGCCUACUUUUCGGCGGGUGAUGGUGACAACAUUUACAGCAACCAGUUCUUCAAUUGGUACAGGUCGAAAGAACCUCCCGAUCUGAUCUCGGCUGGAAAUCAGAUUUGGUUGAGAUUCACGUCCUAUUCAAUUCCAGCGACAUCUGGAUUUGUGUUAUCUGCUUCAAGCAUCCCAGCGACUGAAAAUUUGACUUGUGCUGCGA
Long non-coding RNA from Patiria miniata (bat star), 408 nucleotides. RefSeq lists it as uncharacterized. The transcript is spliced from 3 exons. Lineage: Eukaryota; Metazoa; Echinodermata; Asteroidea; Valvatida; Asterinidae. The record is from RefSeq and is a predicted model, not a curated record.